Molecule: long non-coding RNA, 343 nt
Organism: Suricata suricatta (meerkat)
Lineage: Eukaryota; Metazoa; Chordata; Mammalia; Carnivora; Herpestidae
Exons: 2
Source: RefSeq, a predicted model, not a curated record
GCUGCUUUAGUUGGAGUAAAACUUCUCCAGUAGAUGGCGCUGCUGUCUCUGAAACUGAACUCAGAAGGAAACCAUCCAAAGUCUCAACAGGAUGGAAAGAAAUAAUAGUAAAGGGUGUGGAAGAAAGAAGCAAUGGAAAUAAAGCCAAGUAAAGGGAAGCUGGGUCAAGACAAAAUCACUGCUUUCCAUAAUUUUGAGAAGACACACUAGUGUCUACAUUAUGCUACACUCUGGGACUCUCAUUUUAAAACCAUGUAUGUGUUUGAAAGUUGGAUACUUUGGAUUUCUGUAAGAAUCCAAGGGGAAUAUGUAUUUCUAUAAAUUUUGAUGUUUUAACUUUAAA